AUAAGGGCCUUUGGGAGGUUGUUAGGUCUAAGUGAAGUCAUGAGAGUGAGUCCCCCAUGACAAGAUUAGUGUCCUUAUGAAAAGAGGAAGAGAAACCAGAGCACCCUCUCUCUCCAACAGGUAAGGACACAGGAAGAAGGCAGCUGUCUGUAAGCCAAGAAGAGGCCCCCACCUGGAACUGAACCUGCCAGAACGUUUAUCUUGGACUUUACAGGUUCCCGAAAUCUUCCACCCUGAGUCAUCUUCAUUCUGAUUGAAAAAUACUGCAGUUUUCCUUUAUUGCAGCAAUGUUCCAUUUCCUGUUGCUACAGAAUAAAAAACUCUGUGGACAGAUGUAAUUCUCCAAAGAUGUCUGCAACAAAUAACUCCCAUCUCACAUGCUCUUCUAGAAGCUUGCCAUUACUCAUCAGGUUAUAGAGCCCAUACCCAUUUUCCUGGCACCAAUGGUUUUUGUGUCUGCCUCAACCAGGAGUACAGCUGAAGUGAUGCCAUGUGACUUAAAAAGGUAAGGACACAGGAAGAAGGCAGCUGUCUGUAAGCCAGGAAGAGGCCCCCACCUGGAACUGAACCUGCCAGAACGUUUAUCUUGGACUUUACAGGUUCCCGAAAUGUGAGAAAGAAAUGUCUGUUGUUUAAGCCACUCCAAUUACGGUAUUUUGUUAUAGAAGCCUGAGCUAAUAGACAGUGCUUCUGGAAUAUGUAGCUUGAUGUCUUUGUCAGUUUUCAAAAGUUCUCGGCCAUACUCUCUUCAAAUACACUUACACAGUGCUUUGUAGACUUGAUACCUCUAAGAAUGUCACAGUAUGCUUUUCCAAAGUCUCCCCUUAGAGCCAAGAAGGAAGAAGGAAAAUAGGUCACAGUCACUCACCUUUGGAAGAGAAUUUAGAUUUAAUUAUUCUAGAGCCAGAUGCUCCCCUUGUUUUUUUUUUGGGGGGGGGGGGCUUCACAUAUCAUGCUGAAGUUCCUGGGCCAGAGAUCCAUCCCAUCCCACAGCAGUGACACCACCAGAUCCUUAACCUGCUGUGCCACCAGGAAACUCCUGGAUGCUCCCAUUAUGCUAACUCCUCCUCCCAAAGUAUUCUUCUCCCAUCUCCAUGAGAAAAAGGUCAUUUUGUCUUUCCUUCUAUCAACACCUUUUGGUAAACUUUUGGUCAACAGAAUUUCUACCCUGCUACCAGUAGUUCAACCAGUAGUAAACACUGGAUGGCCCUUCUCUCCCAGUGAUAGAAGAAGUAACCCAGUGUUUGUUCAGCUUUGAAUUUCAUCUGUGCCUCAAAGUGUUAAGUAAAAACAUCUAGAUGAAAACACCAA
Phacochoerus africanus (Common warthog) is the source of this 1311-nucleotide long non-coding RNA. RefSeq lists it as uncharacterized. The record is from RefSeq and is a predicted model, not a curated record. NCBI's taxonomy places the organism in Eukaryota, Metazoa, Chordata, Mammalia, Artiodactyla, Suidae. The transcript has 4 exons.